Molecule: long non-coding RNA, 415 nt
Organism: Ornithorhynchus anatinus (platypus)
Lineage: Eukaryota; Metazoa; Chordata; Mammalia; Monotremata; Ornithorhynchidae
Exons: 2
Source: RefSeq, a predicted model, not a curated record
AACGCCCCGUCCCGGGCCGCGGCGCCUGCCGCCGGGGCAACGGUCGCCACGGAAACCUCCCCUCCCUCUCCCCGCGGCGGGGAUGGAGCCCGAGCGACGCCCGGGAUGGGCGCUCACGCCCCGGCCCUCUUCCUCCUCCUCCUCCUCCUCCUCCUCCUCCUCCUCCUCCUCCUCCCCCUCCUCGCCCGACGGACUCAUCCCUGCAAAGUACCGUUGGAGAGCUUGAUCAUCAUGGCUUGAAACCUAAGCGGCUCUGAUUCGGAAUCUGGACCGUUUGUCGCCUUUAGAGUCUCAGUUCUUCGGCCGUGGGUUGUACCCGUACCUUCCAGGCUGUCCCCUUUGCCCUUAUUAGGAGACACACUUCAUGUACCCAACCCUAAAUGGCGUGAAUAAAAUUAUAUGAUUAGGGUAUCUA